This 291-nucleotide ribosomal RNA is filed under the name uncultured bacterium. RNAcentral's name for it is "partial 16S ribosomal RNA". It matches the Rfam family "Bacterial small subunit ribosomal RNA", at positions 28 to 318 of the family's 1533-position model. The record is from RNAcentral.
GACGAACGCUGGCGGCGUGCUUAACACAUGCAAGUCGAGCGGUAAGGCCCUUUCGGGGGUACGACGACGCGGCGAGCGGGUGAGUAACACGUGGGUGACCUGCCCUCAGCUCUGGGAUAAGCCUGGGAAACCGGGUCUAAUACUGGAUAUGACUCCAUGACGCAUGUUGUGGGGUGGAAAGCCUUGUGCGGCUGAGGAUGGGCCCGCGGCCUAUCAGCUUGUUGGNGGGGUGAUGGCCUACCAAGGCGACGACGGGUAGCCGGCCUGAGAGGGCGACCGGCCACACUGGGA